GACGAACGCUGGCGGCGUGCCUAACACAUGCAAGUCGAACGGAGAGGCUCGGCGUUUGUGGGGUUCUCAAGUGGCGAAAGGGGGAGUAACACGUGAGGAACCUGUCCUUUACUUUGGGGUAACUUCAUGAAAAUCGAACGAAUACCGGAUAGGAGCUCCUUCUGCAUGGUUGUGGUGGUAAAGAGUCGCCGGUUGGGGACGGAGUCGUGGCUUAUCGUCGUGUUGGUGGGGUAGUGGCUUACCAAGGCUUUGAGGGGUUGCCGGACUGAGAGGGUGACCGGCCACAUUGGGACUGAGAUAGGGGCCAGACUGCUACGGGGGGAAGGAGUGGGAAAUAUUGCAAACUGGGCGGAAGCCGUAUGGAGCGACGCCGCGUGCGGGAUGACGGCCUUCGGGUUGUAACGCUGUUUCGCGUGUGAAGAAGAGCGAGUGACGGUAAUGGGUCAAGAAGCAACGGCUAACUACGUG
RNAcentral lists this ribosomal RNA (468 nucleotides) under uncultured bacterium. RNAcentral's name for it is "partial 16S ribosomal RNA". It matches the Rfam family "Bacterial small subunit ribosomal RNA", at positions 28 to 507 of the family's 1533-position model. The record is from RNAcentral.